This 396-nucleotide ribosomal RNA is filed under the name uncultured bacterium. RNAcentral describes it as "partial 16S ribosomal RNA". It matches the Rfam family "Bacterial small subunit ribosomal RNA", at positions 338 to 731 of the family's 1533-position model. The record is from RNAcentral.
CCUACGGGUGGCAGCAGUGAGGAAUAUUGGUCAAUGGGCGCGAGCCUGAACCAGCCAAGCCGCGUGAGGGAUGAAGGUCCUACGGGUUGUAAACUUCUUUUGUAAGGGAAUAAAGUCAGGCACGUGUGCCUUUUUGUAUGUACUUUAUGAAUAAGGAUCGGCUAACUCCGUGCCAGCAGCCGCGGUAAUACGGAGGAUGCGAGCGUUAUCCGGAUUUAUUGGGUUUAAAGGGAGCGUAGGUGGGUUGUUAAGUCAGUUGUGAAAGUUUGGGGCUCAACCGUAAAAUUGCAAUUGAUACUGGCAGUCUUGAGUAGAGUAGAGGUAGGCGGAAUUCGUGGUGUAGCGGUGAAAUGCUUAGAUAUCACGAAGAACUCCGAUUGCGAAGGCAGCUUACUA